Molecule: long non-coding RNA, 885 nt
Filed under: Homo sapiens (human)
Lineage: Eukaryota; Metazoa; Chordata; Mammalia; Primates; Hominidae
Description: HSALNT0177780
Source: RNAcentral
UCCACCUGCCAGGUUCAAGCAGUUCUGCCUCAGCCUCCCGAGUAGCUGGGACUACAGGUGUGCACCACCACGCCUGGCUAAUUUUUGUAUUUUUAGUAGAGACAGUUUCGCCAUGUUGGCCAGGCUGGUCUCAAACUCCUGACCUCAGGUGAUCAGCCUGCCUCAGCCUUACAAAGUGCUGGGAUUACAGGCGCGAAGCCACCGCGCCCGGCCCCCACCACUGUGUUUAAUUCUAACCAAGGAGAAGAGGAAGUUCUGAAAGGAGAACAAGGAGAUCUGAGAACACGGCUCGGGCCUGGCCAGGGGCCUCUCAGAGGAAAGCUCUCCCUGUUGCGUCCCUCCACGCCAGGGCCUGCGUGGAGUGGGCACGGUUUUUGAUACCUGCCUUGCUGACCUUCAGCUCCAAUUUCUUCAUCUGAAAGUGAGGAUAAAAGAAUUAACCCCUCUUUCUAGUCAGAUGCCUGCUAGAUCCAUUUACCUGCUUGAAUUUGAGAUGUAUUGCCAGGAUACACCUCCACAGUCUGAUGGAACACACUGAAGAUAUCUGAACAACAAAAGGCAGAUUCCUUUCAAUCAUCUGAGUGAGCCCAGUGCAAUCUGAAGAGUCCCUACAGGUGGAAGAGGCAGGGGCCAGGAUCCAAGGAGCACCACAGCCUCUGGAAGCCGGGCAAGGAAGUGGACACCCCGGGAGCCUCCAGCAGGAAGGAAGCCCCGCGGACGCCCUAACUUCAGCUCAGCAGACCUGGUCAGAUUUCCGGCCUGCAGCUCUGUUAAGGGGAGACGUUUGUGUUGUUUGAGGCCACCGAGCCUGGUCAUCUGCGCCGGCAGCCGCAGGAGCCCAGGCCACCAUCCCCACGAGGGCGUUGUCCAGCUUAGUGGCGUCCA